UUNUGAACUGGGUGACUAGAGUGUGUCAGAGGGAGNUAGAAUUCCACGUGUAGCAGUGAAAUGCGUAGAGAUGUGGAGGAAUACCGAUGGCGAAGGCAGCNUCCUGGGAUAACACUGACGUUCAUGCCCGAAAGCGUGGGUAGCAAACAGGAUUAGAUACCCNUGGUAGUCCACGCCCUAAACGAUGUCGAUUAGCUGUUGGGCAGCAUGACUGCUUAGUAGCGAAGCUAACGCGUGAAAUCGACCGCCUGGGGAGUACGGUCGCAAGAUUAAAACUCAAAGGAAUUGACGGGGACCCGCACAAGCGGUGGAUGAUGUGGAUUAAUUCGAUGCAACGCGAAGAACCUUACCUGGUCUUGACAUGUACGGAACCCUCCAGAGACGGAGGGGUGCCUUCGGGAGCCGUAACACAGGUGCUGCAUGGCUGUCGUCAGCUCGUGUCGUGAGAUGUUGGGUUAAGUCCCGCAACGAGCGCAACCCUUGUCAUUAGUUGCCAUCAUUAAGUUGGGCACUCUAAUGAGACUGCCGGUGACAAGCCGGAGGAAGGUGGGGAUGACGUCAAGUCCUCAUGGCCCUUAUGACCAGGGCUUCACACGUCAUACAAUGGUCGGUACAGAGGGUAGCCAAGCCGCGAGGUGGAGCCAAUCUCACAAAACCGAUCGUAGUCCGGAUUGCACUCUGCAACUCGAGUGCAUGAAGUCGGAAUCGCUAGUAAUCGCAGGUCAGCAUACUGCGGUGAAUACGUUCCCGGGUCUUGUACACACCGCCCGUCACACCAUGGGAGUGGGGGAUACCAGAAGUA
This 802-nucleotide ribosomal RNA is filed under the name uncultured bacterium. Its description in RNAcentral is "bacterial SSU rRNA". It matches the Rfam family "Bacterial small subunit ribosomal RNA", at positions 626 to 1428 of the family's 1533-position model. The record is from RNAcentral.